RNAcentral lists this ribosomal RNA (253 nucleotides) under uncultured bacterium. RNAcentral's name for it is "partial 16S ribosomal RNA". It matches the Rfam family "Bacterial small subunit ribosomal RNA", at positions 524 to 776 of the family's 1533-position model. The record is from RNAcentral.
UACGGAGGGUGCGAGCGUUGUUCGGAAUCCCUGGGCGUAAAGCGCGUGUAGGCGGCCUGCUAAGUCUGAUGUGAAAGCCCGAGGCUCACCCUCGGAAGUGCAUUGGAAACUGGCAGACUGGAGUCCCGGAGAGGAGGGUGGAAUUCCUGGUGUAGCGGUGAAAUGCGUAGAUAUCAGGAGGAACACCGGUGGCGAAGGCGGCCCUCUGGACGGUGACUGACGCUGAGACGCGAAAGCGUGGGGAGCAAACAGG